RNAcentral lists this small nuclear RNA (302 nucleotides) under Octodon degus (degu). RNAcentral describes it as "7SK RNA (ENSODEG00000023904.1)". It matches the Rfam family "7SK RNA". From Rfam's summary of the family: 7SK was discovered as an abundant small nuclear RNA in the mid-70s but a possible function has only recently been suggested. Two independent studies have found that 7SK RNA binds the CDK9/cyclin T complex (known as elongation factor P-TEFb). The record is from Rfam by way of RNAcentral. Lineage: Eukaryota; Metazoa; Chordata; Mammalia; Rodentia; Octodontidae.
GGGUGAUCAGGCCGCAACAUCUGUCACCCUACUGAUCGUGAGGGUUGAUUUGGUGGAUCUGGAUGGCAAGGCAAGUGUCCCCUUCCUUUUCCAAUGUUCCAUGUGCAUCACUCCCAAAGCUGUGUGCUCGGUCAAAGAGGACAAUCAUUCCUGAGAGAGGAGGACAGCUCUUUGGUCGAGGGUACAGGAGUCACUUCACUCCUCUACUAAAACUUCCAAAGAAACUCUGAAGUUUUAUGACUUAUGUAUGUUUUUGCUGGACACUGCUAUAGAAUUAGUAAUGCCUCAGACUGCAUUGUCUU